This 378-nucleotide ribosomal RNA is filed under the name uncultured organism. Its description in RNAcentral is "bacterial SSU rRNA". It matches the Rfam family "Bacterial small subunit ribosomal RNA", at positions 526 to 896 of the family's 1533-position model. The record is from RNAcentral.
CAGAGACCUCAAGCGUUAUCCGGAAUCAUUGGGCGUAAAGCGUACCGAUAGGUGGUUUAUUAAGUCUUGGGUAAAAGCCGGAAGCUUAACUUCCGCGUUUGCUUAAGAUACUAAUAGACUAGAGGGGCAAAGAGGUGCUUGGAACGAACGGUGUAGUAGUGAAAUGCGUUGAUAUCGUUCGGAACACCGAAAGCGAAGGCAGAGCACUGGGUGCCACCUGACACUGCUAGGACGAAAGCGUGGGGAGCGAAUGGGAUUAGAUACCCCAGUAGUCCACGCUGUAAACGAUGAGUACUAGGCAUACGCGAGUAUCGACCCUCGUAUGUGCCGUAGCUAACGCGAUAAGUAUUCCGCCUGGGGAGUACGGUCGCAAGACUA